RNAcentral lists this ribosomal RNA (406 nucleotides) under uncultured bacterium. RNAcentral's name for it is "partial 16S ribosomal RNA". It matches the Rfam family "Bacterial small subunit ribosomal RNA", at positions 30 to 526 of the family's 1533-position model. The record is from RNAcentral.
AUUGAACGCUGGCGGCAGGCCUAACACAUGCAAGUCGAACGAGUGGCGGACGGGUGAGUAAGGUCUGGGAAACUGCCUGAUGGAGGGGGAUAACUACUGGAAACGGUAGCUAAUACCGCAUACCAUCGGAUGUGCCCUGGUGGGAUUAGCUAGUGGGUGGGGUAACGGCUCACCAAGGCGACGAUCCCUAGCUUGGCUGAGAGGCUGACCGGCCACACUGGAACUGAGACACGGUCCAGACUCCUACGGGAGGCAGCAGUGGGGAAUAUUGGGCAAUGGGCGAAAGCCUGAUGGAGCCAUGCCGCGUGUAUGAAGAAGGCUUUCGGGUUGUAAAGUACUUUCAGCGGGGAAGCGUUACCCGCCGAAGAAGCAACGGCUAACUCCGUGCCAGCCGCCGCGGUAAUUC